Molecule: ribosomal RNA, 274 nt
Filed under: uncultured bacterium
Lineage: Bacteria
Description: partial 16S ribosomal RNA
Rfam family: Bacterial small subunit ribosomal RNA
Source: RNAcentral
AUACGGAGGGUGCAAGCGUUAAUCGGAAUUACUGGGCGUAAAGCGCGCGUAGGCGGAUAUUUAAGUCUCAUGUGAAAGCCCUGGGCUCAACCUGGGAACUGCAUGGGAUACUGGGUAUCUUGAAUACAGUAGAGGGUAGUGGAAUUUCAGGUGUAGCGGUGAAAUGCGUAGAGAUCUGAAGGAACAUCAGUGGCGAAGGCGACUACCUGGACUGAUAUUGACGCUGAGGUGUGAAAGCGUGGGGAGCAAACAGGAUUAGAUACCCUAGUAGUCC